This is a long non-coding RNA of Cyprinus carpio (common carp), 1004 nucleotides long. NCBI's taxonomy places the organism in Eukaryota, Metazoa, Chordata, Actinopteri, Cypriniformes, Cyprinidae. The record is from Ensembl.
GUUCAGAGCCCUCUUAACGACUGUCUUGUUUUGGAAGGAAGUGUAAGUAUGGCCCUCAUAACUGUGAAAAGAGAGCUCAGCUAUUUAAACAUUAUCCCCCGGUUUCACAGACAAGCCUUAAGGCCAGUCUCAGUCUAAAAUGAUGUUCAAGCUGUCUUAACUGAAAAUAUCUUGUACAGACACAUCUUAAAAUAUGUCUGUGUCAUUGUCUUGUUUCAAGAUGCACACCAGUAAAGUUCUUAAGGCAUUUUUAUUUUUAUUAAGUUAUUUAAAUAUCCUGAUUUUAACUAAGACCUAGUUCUGGCUUAAGCUAAGCCCUGUCUGUGAAACUCUGUCUCUAUGUUCAAACAUGGAAGUUAUACAAGAACGGAACAAUGUCCUUGUUCACAUCAGGCAUGUACAUACAUUUAAAUCACUUUAUGCACUAAAACAUACACUUAUGCCACCUCACAGCAAAACUCCAGAUGUGUCAUGUGGUUUAACUGAGACCUGUUCUGAGGAUGACCACUUUAUUGACAGGCACACUGCACAAUUAAAUGUAACCCUUAAGUCAGAUGCCCUUAUAAAGACUGUAACUUUAAUGUUUGCUCUUCACAGAAAAGUUGUAAUUUACAAUCCUGACAUCACCCAGAUGGUAUUUCAAAGGCCAGAUCUUUUUACUGUAAACCAGGAUGCAGCUAACAAGAAAGACUCCAGUAAGAAUCCUCAGCAUUGAUCAAGAAAGUCCACAGCUAAACCCAUCUAGAGUGGGAAUCAUCUUGGAAGAAAAUUUUGUAAUGGAUGAACUGACCGAUCUCAGGCCUUCUAUUUUUUUAUUUUUUAUUUUUUUCAGACUGAUUUAUGCCCUGCACCUGGACUAGGUGUAUGAAAAGCUCUUUAUAUUUUAUUCAGUAGGUAAUGCUCAACCUCGGAAAAAGUGAGUUUGCACCUAUAAUUCAGUACUGCCAAUAUUGUGAACUCAAGAGUGGAAUAAAACCAUAUAGUUCUGAUGCUGUUUGUUGUAA